This 67-nucleotide transfer RNA is filed under the name Oopsacas minuta. RNAcentral describes it as "tRNA-Leu". It matches the Rfam family "tRNA". Rfam says of the family: Transfer RNA (tRNA) molecules are approximately 80 nucleotides in length. Their secondary structure includes four short double-helical elements and three loops (D, anti-codon, and T loops). Lineage: Eukaryota; Metazoa; Porifera; Hexactinellida; Lyssacinosida; Leucopsacidae. The record is from RNAcentral.
UAGAUAUGGUGAAAAAAACACAAUUGACUUAGGAUCAAUUUAUUGUAGGCCAAAUCCUACUAUCUAC